GAUGAACGCUGGCGGCGUGCCUAAUACAUGCCAGUCGAGCGAACAGACGAGGAGCUUGCUCCUCUGACGUUAGCGGCGGACGGGUGAGUAACACGUGGAUAACCCACCUAUAAGACUGGGAUAACUUCGGGAAACCGGAGCUAAUACCGGAUCAUAUAUUGAACCGCAUGGUUCAAUAGUGAAAGACGGUUUUGCUGUCACAUAUAGAUGGAUCCGCGCCGCAUUCGCUAGUUGGUAAGGUAACGGCUUACCAAGGCAACGAUGCGUAGCCGACCUGAGAGGGUGAUCGGCCACACGGGAACGGAGACACGGUCCAGACUCCUACGGGAGGCAGCAGUAGGGAUUCUUCCGCAAUGGGCGAAAGCCUGACGGAGCAACGCCGCGUGAGUGAUGAAGGUCUUCGGAUCGUAAGACUCUGUUAUUAGGGAAGAACAAAUGUGUAAGUAACUAUGCACGUCUUGACGGUACCUAAUCAGAAAGCCACGGCUAACUACGUG
RNAcentral lists this ribosomal RNA (497 nucleotides) under uncultured bacterium. Its description in RNAcentral is "partial 16S ribosomal RNA". It matches the Rfam family "Bacterial small subunit ribosomal RNA", at positions 28 to 507 of the family's 1533-position model. The record is from RNAcentral.